CCAGACUCCUACGGGAGGCAGCAGUGGGGAAUAUUGCACAAUGGGGGGAACCCUGAUGCAGCGACGCCGCGUGGGCGAGGAAGUAUUUCGGUAUGUAAAGCCCUAUCGGCAGGGAAGAAGAAAUGACGGUACCUGAAUAAGAAGCACCGGCUAAAUACGUGCCAGCAGCCGCGGUAAUACGUAUGGUGCAAGCGUUAUCCGGAUUUACUGGGCGUAAAGGGAGCGCAGGCGGCGCGCCAAGUCUGAUGUGAGACCCCGGGGCUCAACCCCGGGCAUGCAUUGGAAACUGGCGGGCUGGAGUGCCGGAGAGGUAAGCGGAAUUCCUAGUGUAGCGGUGAAAUGCGUAGAUAUUAGGAGGAACACCAGUGGCGAAGGCGGCCUGCUGGACGGUAACUGACGCUGAGGCUCGAAAGCGUGGGGAGCGAACAGGAUUAGAUACCCCAGUAC
RNAcentral lists this ribosomal RNA (447 nucleotides) under uncultured bacterium. RNAcentral describes it as "bacterial SSU rRNA". It matches the Rfam family "Bacterial small subunit ribosomal RNA", at positions 331 to 793 of the family's 1533-position model. The record is from RNAcentral.